This 1041-nucleotide long non-coding RNA is filed under the name Homo sapiens (human). Its description in RNAcentral is "HSALNT0380428". The record is from RNAcentral. Lineage: Eukaryota; Metazoa; Chordata; Mammalia; Primates; Hominidae.
GCAGGACUGGCCUGUCAUGAAAUGUCAUAAUCAGCUGAUAUCGCUGGAACUUCCACACCUGGUUGGAUAUUGAUUUUACUUCAAAGAAGGCUCACGAUGUAGGAGAUGACGAUCCACUCCUGGAGGGACGGCCAGCCAUCCAUCCGCACCAGGAUGACGUAGUUAAACAGCAGCAGGUUGACACAUCUAAAAGAAUCUUUGUUUCCAACUGGACUGACUCAUUGAGAGGAAACCUUCACUGCACCUCACCAGUGCAGACAGAAGACCUGGAGGCAGGACGGGAGGCAUUUUAUACUUCAGCACGAUAUGGGCCCUGACUUUUCAUUUUCUACAUGGAGACAUAUUGAUCCUGCCUCCCAAGCCUAUAAGCUUUACCAGGAGAGAGGCAGGCCCCACCCCAAGAUCCACUAUCCACUCUUUGAAGAAAGAUUAGAGCCAUGUUCUCAGACUUUGGGCUGCAUCCUAAUCCCUGCGAAGCUGCACAAUGUGUGAUGACUCCACCCUCCACCCGAUCCAGAGGGUCUGGGGUGAGACCCAAGGCUGAGAGGCCUCGAUGGCUUCCUGGCCCCAUCUCCGGCAGCAGCCUCUAUGGCUGGGCUCUCCUGCAGGCUGGGUGCACCCCAGGCCCUCAGAUGGUUCUAACCAGAAUCGAUGGGCAGCAGUGACUUCGACUGUAUCAUCAAUCUUGGCUGCCACAAGGUUGGGUGUCCAGGCCCUCAGCUGACCCUUGAGGUGGGCCCCCACACAGAGCUUUGCUCUGCCCCCAGCCCACCCUCAUUCAUCGCCCAGACCACGGCCAGGGACCCAGCUCCUCAUGUCCCAUACCCUGCUCUCACCUCAUCACCAGUGCAACCACAGCACCGAGGCCUGCCUGGCGGGGGCUGUGGCUUGAUGCUUGGGAUUUCAUGAGAAGUCUCUCUCCUCCCGACUGACGUGGUUGCACAAGCCACAGUGUGCCUGGCCACCCCCACUGGGACCGCCUGCAGCUCGGCCAUUUCCCCCAGAGGCGCUCUGAUCUGCCCUCCUGCCUCCUCUCCUGUU